GGGUGUGCGCAAAAAUCUGAAUUUCAGAUUUUUGAUCUUUUAAAUUUGAAAAGAGAAAAUAAAUUAGAAAAAAAUUAUUUUCUUCUCUAUCUUUUUUUUACCUCUUCAUCUUCUCUAAAAGUUCAUCUUCAAUCUCUAGAAAGGUUUCAAAGAUUUGAAAAGAAAAUCCAGAUCGGCCAAAAAGAAGGUCUUCACGUGAGCUAGCACUCUCGAGAAGACCGAUCAGAUCGAAGCUUUGAGUGGAUUUUUAUAAAGACCGGAUGCGUGU
This 268-nucleotide long non-coding RNA is filed under the name Elaeis guineensis (African oil palm). Its description in RNAcentral is "long non-coding RNA (EGUI_LNC073735)". Lineage: Eukaryota; Viridiplantae; Streptophyta; Magnoliopsida; Arecales; Arecaceae. The record is from RNAcentral.